Molecule: ribosomal RNA, 406 nt
Filed under: uncultured bacterium
Lineage: Bacteria
Description: partial 16S ribosomal RNA
Rfam family: Bacterial small subunit ribosomal RNA
Source: RNAcentral
AUUGAACGCUGGCGGCAGGCCUAACACAUGCAAGUCGAACGAGUGGCGGACGGGUGAGUAAUGUCUGGGAAACUGCCUGAUGGAGGGGGAUAACUACUGGAAACGGUAGCUAAUACCGCAUACCAUCGGAUGUGCCCAGAUGGGAUUAGCUAGUAGGUGGGGUAAAGGCUCACCUAGGCGACGAUCCCUAGCUGGUCUGAGAGGAUGACAAGCCAAACUGGAACUGAGACACGGUCCAGAAUCCGACGGGAGGAAGCAGUGGGGAAUCUGGCACAAAUGGCGGAAGCCUGAUGCAGACAUGCCGCGUGUGUGAAGAAGGCCUUCGGGUUGUAAAGUACUUUCAGCGGUGAGGCGUUAACCGCAGAAGAAGCAACGGCUAACUCCGUGCCAGCAGCCGCGGUAAUAC